UUUCUGCUUCAUCCAGGCUGGUCUUGAUAUACCUUAAGCAGUGCUUCUUCUGCACCUCAGCUCCCCCUCUGCUCUCACCACCCAGAUCCCCCUAUCCUCGAAUUCCAGGUUCAGGUGCCAUAGCUUUCUACUGAAGCAGUGUUUCUCCACAUCAGCCUAACAGGAAUGACAAAUCAAAAUGAAG
This is a long non-coding RNA of Herpailurus yagouaroundi (jaguarundi), 184 nucleotides long. RefSeq lists it as uncharacterized. Lineage: Eukaryota; Metazoa; Chordata; Mammalia; Carnivora; Felidae. The record is from RefSeq and is a predicted model, not a curated record. The transcript has 2 exons.